This 489-nucleotide ribosomal RNA is filed under the name uncultured bacterium. RNAcentral describes it as "partial 16S ribosomal RNA". It matches the Rfam family "Bacterial small subunit ribosomal RNA", at positions 30 to 507 of the family's 1533-position model. The record is from RNAcentral.
AUUGAACGCUGGCGGCAGGCCUAACACAUGCAAGUCGAACGGUAACAGGAAACAGCUUGCUGUUUCGCUGACGAGUGGCGGACGGGUGAGUAAUGUCUGGGAAACUGCCUGAUGGAGGGGGAUAACUACUGGAAACGGUAGCUAAUACCGCAUAACGUCGCAAGACCAAGAGGGGGACCCUCGGGCCUCUUGCCAUCGGAUGUGCCCAGAUGGGAUUAGCUUGUUGGUGGGGUAACGGCUCACCAAGGCGACGAUCCCUAGCUGGUCUGAGAGGAUGACCAGCCACACUGGAACUGAGACACGGUCCAGACGCCUACGGGAGGCAGCAGUGGGGAAUAUUGCACAAUGGGCGCAAGCCUGAUGCAGCCAUGCCGCGUGUAUGAAGAAGGCCUUCGGGUUGUAAAGUACUUUCAGCGGGGAGGAAGGGAGUAAAGUUAAUACCUUUGCUCAUUGACGUUACCCGCAGAAGAAGCACCGGCUAACUCCGUG